GAUGAACGCUGGCGGCGUGCCUAAUACAUGCAAGUCGAGCGAACAGACGAGGAGCUUACUCCUCUGACGUUAGCGGCGGCCGGGUGAGUAACACGUGGAUAACCUACCUAUAAGACUGGGAUAACUUCGGGAAACCGGAGCUAAUACCGGAUAACAUGUUGAACCGCAUGGUUCAACAGUGAAAGACGGUCUUGCUGUCACUUAUAGAUGGAUCCGCGUCGCAUUAGCUAGUUGGUAAGGUAACGGCUUACCAAGGCAACGAUGCGUAGCCGACCUGAGAGGGUGAUCGGCCACACUGGAACUGAGACACGGUCCAGACUCCUACGGGAGGCAGCAGUAGGGAAUCUUCCGCAAUGGGCGAAAGCCUGACGGAGCAACGCCGCGUGAGUGAAGAAGGUCUUCGGAUCGUAAAACUCUGUUAUUAGGGAAGAACAAAUGUGUAAGUAACUAUGCACGUCUUGACGGUACCUAAUCAGAAAGCCACGGCUAACUACGUG
This 497-nucleotide ribosomal RNA is filed under the name uncultured bacterium. RNAcentral's name for it is "partial 16S ribosomal RNA". It matches the Rfam family "Bacterial small subunit ribosomal RNA", at positions 28 to 507 of the family's 1533-position model. The record is from RNAcentral.